Molecule: ribosomal RNA, 469 nt
Filed under: uncultured bacterium
Lineage: Bacteria
Description: bacterial SSU rRNA
Rfam family: Bacterial small subunit ribosomal RNA
Source: RNAcentral
ACUCCUACGGGAGGCAGCAGUGAGGAAUAUUGGUCAAUGGGCGCAAGCCUGAACCAGCCAUGCCGCGUGCAGGAUGACGGUCCUAUGGAUUGUAAACUGCUUUUGUACGGGAAGAAACACUCCUUCGUGAAGGAGCUUGACGGUACCGUAAGAAUAAGGAUCGGCUAACUCCGUGCCAGCAGCCGCGGUAAUACGGAGGAUCCAAGCGUUAUCCGGAAUCAUUGGGUUUAAAGGGUCCGUAGGCGGUUUUAUAAGUCAGUGGUGAAAUCCGGCAGCUCAACUGUCGAACUGCCAUUGAUACUGUAGAACUUGAAUUAUUGUGAAGUAACUAGAAUAUGUAGUGUAGCGGUGAAAUGCUUAGAGAUUACAUGGAAUACCAAUUGCGAAGGCAGGUUACUAACAAUAUAUUGACGCUGAUGGACGAAAGCGUGGGUAGCGAACAGGAUUAGAUACCCUGGUAGGAUAGCGU